Molecule: ribosomal RNA, 253 nt
Filed under: uncultured bacterium
Lineage: Bacteria
Description: partial 16S ribosomal RNA
Rfam family: Bacterial small subunit ribosomal RNA
Source: RNAcentral
UGCGGAGGGGGCUAGCGUUGUUCGGAAUUACUGGGCGUAAAGCGCACGUAGGCGGCUUUGUAAGUUAGAGGUGAAAGCCCAGGGCUCAACCCUGGAAUUGCCUUUAAGACUGCAUCGCUAGAAUUGUGGAGAGGUAAGUGGAAUUCCGAGUGUAGAGGUGAAAUUCGUAGAUAUUCGGAAGAACACCAGUGGCGAAGGCGACUUACUGGACACAUAUUGACGCUGAGGUGCGAAAGCGUGGGGAGCAAACAGG